GUUUCCGGUCCUUCUUUCCUUUGUAUUGUGAAGCCGAAGAACAUCUUUUCGCGGAGGUCUUGCCUCAUCUGCUAUCAUGAGGCGAGAACAGCAGAGUCAGCCGUACCGCGGUGCUGCUGCUGCUUUUCUUGGACAAUCUACCGAGUCGACCCCGCUGUCUGGAUGGGCCCAUGGUGAACGUUUGGCUGAACGAUACCAGCACCUUCAUAACGGAACCGUCUGCGGAUUGCUGCCUGCCUUUGGGUUGCCUGCAUCACAUUGCCUCGCCAACGCUGGAAGCCACUACGAUGUUCGUCGGGCAACAAGGGGCCACGUCACUUAUCUGGCCGCUUGAAAAAGGCGGGAUUCCUGCGGAUACCGUAUGCCACGACACUGCUGCUAUGCAUCCCUACUCACGCAGAACACUUGUACAGGUAAGAGGAGAUGCGACUAUACGCCUCGUGCACCGCCUAUAGAGGCGCCACUGAAAGCCAUCUAGCGGACGCUUCCAACAGUACACGCGGGAGCAAUAGCAGACGACAACCUUUUGCAGCAAGGGUGGCUGAAGUUCGCGGCUGCGAUUUCUCCUUUGUUCGGGUGCCAGGCUGCUUCUUCUGCGGUGACAGCUGUAGGGAAGAUUCUGACCUCUGUGCGAGCGGGUAUGAACAUGAUGUUACCGGUGUUUGGGACAACAUGGUCUACAUACGUGCAAGGUGUGUCCCGCAGACAAACGCCAUGAACCCCAUAUACAUGACGUGGAGCCCAUGUUCACUAGCCGAUAAAUUUUGUUGAGUGAUGCGAUCUCUCGAUGGUUUUUUUUUAUUCUACCCUUGCCGCAAUGCUGCUUCUGUACCUGAAUAAUAA
Long non-coding RNA from Dermacentor albipictus, 843 nucleotides. RefSeq lists it as uncharacterized. Lineage: Eukaryota; Metazoa; Arthropoda; Arachnida; Ixodida; Ixodidae. The record is from RefSeq and is a predicted model, not a curated record.